Long non-coding RNA from Serinus canaria (Common canary), 2594 nucleotides. RefSeq lists it as uncharacterized. The record is from RefSeq and is a predicted model, not a curated record. The transcript has 2 exons. NCBI's taxonomy places the organism in Eukaryota, Metazoa, Chordata, Aves, Passeriformes, Fringillidae.
CAAACAGAGCCUGCAGAAUGUCUGACAUAACUCGAGGAGGGAUUUGAUCUGGUUGAGAUGGCUGCAGUCAAGAGGUUCCUGGCUGGGUGAGGUCAUUGAACUCCCCCGAGGGCUGCCGAGGGAAGCAGGUGAAUGCAAAGCCUAUGGCUCUCUUCCCUCAGACACUUAAGGUUAAGGCUGUACUGGUGCUCAGAAAAAGGUGGGUAGUGUCUUUCCUUCUUCACAGAGAGCACAGAGAGGUGUAAAUUUUAAAGCUUAAUGAAAGCAAUUUGAGUAGUAAUAAUAUUAUCUACUUAAAAGUAGAAACAUUUUGAUGUUCUAGAAUAAUCUGUCCUAAGGAAUAUAUUCUCAAUCUCUUUGUGAUGAAAAUAAUUUGGUGCAUGUUACUCUUUUUAUCUUCUCCUUCAGCUUUGAAACCUAUCUUGCAGAGAUCAGGGCUUAUCUCUUGUCUCAAGGGUUUCAGCCUCAGUGACUGGUUGGAAUUAGGCUCAGUUACAGAAAGUCUCUACUAGUAAGUUUCUGAGGAGAAUCUUGGUUCCUAUGGCAUCCCAGCUCAGAAUGCCAUGCUGCUGGAAGGCUAAGGUAUCUCUCUGGACUCUUAGCACAGCAGGUUUUCAGAGGCAGUUCAGUUUCAUAGAAAUGCUCCUCCCAUCCUGUUCACCUUACUCCUUUACAGACUCCACAGCAACCACUGAAUUAACUGGCAUUGAGCCCUUCCAGGACCAGGGUCUUAAGAAGAAAGUCAGGCUGGCCUUAAAGCAGAUUGGCUUUUCUUAAGUGCUCAGAUCCUGCCCCUUCCAAAGCCCAGGCUGUGGAGUGUGAACUGCAGAUAGAUUACAGAGUUCAGAGCAAUCUGGACACUCAAAUAUUGUCCUGAUUUUUUUUUCCUCUCACACAAUUUUCUAACAAUGCUCUCGUCUUCCACUGCUUUCUUCUGUUGACAAGCAGUAUUGUGUCUUUUGGAGUGAUGAAAGGCAAAAGCACUGAACAGCAUCAUCAACACAUGGCAGUUCCUUUCAUUUUUAAUUAAAUAUACGACAGCCAAUGGACCGGUAAUGUACCUAAAUAAACCACAUUCAUAGAACAAAGGAAGAAGACACUCUUGAGCACUAGGUUUAAUACACAGCGGGUAUCCAACGGAUACAACAGAAAAGUUAAUUCAUUCAGAAUUGUAAGGAAGCAACAGUUGUGCAUUUUGAUUUUUUUGCUCAGUUUCACCAGGUACAAACAUUGGAACCAGGCCUCAGCAUCAGGCAGGUCCAUGGACAGAGUAAAAGGAGAUGCUCGUUAUAACUGAGGGUAUUUUCAUUGCAAAACAAGGAAAUACAUAUUUAAUUAGCUGAAAAACUUUUUUAAAACAAGGAAAGAGUUACAGAGAGGAUCAGUGAUAAUUACAUGAAAUCAAGAGUCUGUUAAAGCAGAAGUGUUUCAAUUCAGCAGAGUAUCUCCCUCAUUCCUUAAGUACUCUCUUCUCCUUCAGCCCCCCUGUUGCUUUUCUCUAUUCCUGAUGACUAUUGCCCUCUGUGCUUCAUCCACACACAUGGUUGUCGUGGAGACCAGCUGUUUCCCUACUUUUAAUUCUCUUUUUCCAGCACAAGCUGUCCUCUAACACCUGAGCUGUGGCAGACUCCUCCCUAAACAGUCUCAAGGAAAUGUCUUUUCUAUGGAUAGUGCCUGACUGCAGUGCCCUCUAGCUCUUGCCUUACUGGUAAUUAAUUGCCUUCUUCAGGUAAUGAGAGGGAAUUGACUCACAGCUCCAAGACUUUUCUUCCCACUCAUCUUUUGCAGAGACUAAAGUGACAGCAGCAGAAGCCCAGCCAAGGCGACAAGCUAGGUAGGAUUCAGUGCUGAAGAGGAUAAUUUCAGUAGGAAGGUGCAGGGAAACAGCAGCCAUGGUGCAGAUGAAUUAUCUGCAGUGUUCUGAUUGCCACAAAUAUCAAUGCUAAACUUUCUUGGCUUGGUCUAGAUGAGAAAGUCUGAUCCUUCUGGGUGUUAAACAUCAUCCAAGUAGAUGCCAAUCCUUAUGAGCAAUUCCUCCCACAGAUUUUGUAAAAUGGAAGCACUGGUGGGAAGUUGCUCACCAAUUAGCUCUUAUCUGCUUCAGAGAGGAUGGACACUCGGCACUGCUGGGUCACUGACAAGGGCCCCUGGAGGACAGGGCAGCCUCCAGCCAGGAAGGAAACCACACACGGUUCAGGCAGAGGGUUCCUUUGUUGGCACAGUCUCUGCAGGAAGCUACUGAGUCGUGUUUGUGCUCUGCUGGCCCAGCUUUGGAAUAUUAAAGGAAAUGUAAUAGUGAAAACAUGAAGAGUCUGAGUGGGCCAACAGCUACUGAGCACAAGGAGCCCCUCUGUAAUAUCCUUAUAUGCUAUGAACUUCUCUACAGCUGGAUUUUCAUUUGAAAAAUAGAACCCCAUUCUGGUUUGCUGAGCAGGGUUGGUCACUGGCUGUAUCAUUUCGUGUGGAGCUGAAGUUUCCUCUUUGAUCCAGCAGAGCUGGAAGGCCUGAGAGGCAUCCUUGGAGCAGUCAAGAAUUUUAGGGUAUCCAACUUCCCCUUUUACAUUAAACCUUCAUAAAAAAUCUGCCACUUUGCC